Molecule: long non-coding RNA, 924 nt
Filed under: Lathyrus oleraceus (garden pea)
Lineage: Eukaryota; Viridiplantae; Streptophyta; Magnoliopsida; Fabales; Fabaceae
Description: Pisum sativum (pea) long non-coding RNA (PSAT_LNC029823)
Source: RNAcentral
UAUAUUUCAAUAUAUUAAAUAGUGAAUUAGGAAGUUACAAAUAUCAGUUGUAUGAGUUAGGAAUAAUAGAGUUUAUUAAUUUUAAUUUUAAAGAUGAAUCAUAAAAGAAAAACAAAAAUAAUAUACUCUCGUAAACUAUGUGGUUUUAAAAAAUUGCUGAGUAGGAAUGUCAUGUUAAACCACUUAAAGGGGUAGUCAUUUCCUUAUUUCCAAAGGGACAUACCAUUUAGCUUCAUCGUGAACAAUCCUUAAUAGAAUACUUCUCACCUAGUGCUAUUUGAAAUGAGGUUCAAGACAACGUCAGCGUUGAAGAUCAUAUUGAAAACAUGUCCAAGGAUCUGUUUGGUGUUGAUGGUGUUUGUAUAUGUUGAGUGAUGAAACGAUGACAAUGAUUUAAAUGUUAUUAAGCAAUACAUUUGAAUUUGCAAAUACUCUAAGAUAAAUGAUCACUCAUAUAAAUUUGUAGGAAGAGCUUAUGUGUUCAUCUUUCAAGCACAUGCACAUUUUCCACUUCCAGAAACGGGAAGAUUUGUCAACAAAACGCACUUUGGUUUUAAAGGAGAUGGGCACAUAUCCUUUGGACAAUCAAAAUCAUGGAUACAAUCAACAAAACCUGUAAUAAAAUAAAUAAUAAAAACUUGUUACAAAAAUUAGAUAAAACAUUACCUAUAAAUAAGAAACUUUGAAAAUGGUAAAAAAAAUGGCUUACUUUCAAUAUUCAUUGCAACCAGAAAUAGAGAAAGAAAGAUUAUGGAAAAAUAAAUAAACUUGACUAUUCCAACCAUUAUUUUUUCCUCUUGGCAAGUAAGAAAUAUUGUAUAGUUUUCUAAUUUUCUAGUUUAUAAUGUUCAACUCUUGUAUGUUUGGAUUGAUGGAAAGGCGUGUACAUAAAACUUCAAAAGCCAAUCCAUUAGGUAGUUUUUU